CGGCCGGAAGUGCUCACGGCGGCGGCAGCUCUGAGCUUGCGCGAAAUGGUCGGUGGGGUGUACGUCUGAGGCGGCGCUGCAGCGUUCGUGUUGAGUGUGGAGUUACACGAUUUUCUCUCCGAAAAGGCCGCGGAGGACCCCCCCCGGAAUGCGGUCUGCCAGGCCUGGUAAGAACAUGAGUCCAAGGAGUUCCUACUAUGGCACAGUGGAUGAAGGAUUCGACUAUUGCAGCAGCUCAAGUCGCUUCCGGAGGCAAGAGUUCCAUCCCUGGUCUGGCACGCUGCUGCGGUUCAAUUAAAUCCCUGGCCCAGACACUUCCCAUGUACCAAAAAAGAAUAUGCAGUCCAAAAGUAGAAGGAGUUUUAUUAUGAUUAACUUUUUCCCCUAAUAGAGACUGUUUGCCAGUUGUCUCAAUCUUCUUCAAGAACAACCUCAAAAAAAAAAGCCAACCCCAAAGUGGGACACAUAGCCAUCCAAAACAUACUAGCCUCCCCUGCAAGCUACCUCUGGUCACAAGUGAUUAAUUCCUGGACCCAACAGGAUAUAAGCACAAAAUACGCAAAUUAUGGAAAGCAUACUCAAAAGGAAAACAGGCCCAAUCCUUUUUUUCUCCUUCCUCUUGGUUAUGAGAAAAAUAUGACGUAAUCAGGGAGCUAAAGAAGCCAACUAAGAUUACAGAAGUGAUUAUAAAUAGCAAAUGGCCCCUGAUUGUAGAAGCUAUCAGCAGACCCAGGUAGCCUUUUACGAAAGAGGGAAAAAAAUCUUUAACUUGUGACAGUUACCUUUCCCUGUUACUCAGCAUUAUAGAUUUGUAGUAGACCUUGUAUAAACUUCAAAAGUUGCUUUAUACUUUGUUCAAAAUUAAAAGCAAAAAAACUGAACGCUAAUUGCACAUAUACAUGUACCUGCUACCUCAAACAUGGACCUUUGGUUUUCCAAUAAGUUACUGGCCUAUCCAAAACUUUUAAUCUGUAAUCCUAAGGCAUAUGAUAUUCAAUGUCUAAUCAUCAAGAAUAGGUACAACUGUAGCUCUGAAAGUCUUAAAAACAAGUAUGUACCCCCCAUAAGGAUCUUUAAAAAAAAAAAAUCAAAAUUCCCAGUCUCAUUUUUAUUGCUUCCAGUAGCAACAGUAAUUUUAUAGAGAGUUAGCCAUCACCACCAAUUUUUUGACCAAUGUGGAUAUCUACAUGUGAAUUUGUUGGCUAGGGGUGAGAAAGGUGCAAUCUCGUCACAUUUUCUGGCAUACAAGAACUGAACCCAUAACCCGUAAUAAGCACUGUCAUCAACUUAAUUUCUAUCCUGUGACUGGUUGGUUAAGCACCAAUUUGCUAUAAUUUGUGGAACAUAAUCAAGCCUUAAAACAAUUGUAUUAUGUUGCUUGAUGGCCGUAAGGCCACCAAGUCAAAUUAUGCUUAAUACCAUAAUUGGUAAUACUUAACAGUUACCGCAUUCACUCCUGAAAUACUGCUUUAACAUUUGCUGUUAAGGCUCUGCAAAUAGCCUGUUACUUUAUUUCUUCUACGUAAUUGUUGAUUAGUCUCAAGAGAAAGUAAAAUACUAACUAGCUUUUGUACUCCUAUUAUGUAUGCCCUACAACAUGUAUGUUUAGAUAGAAGUCACAACCCCUACCUUACCUUCUCUAUAAACCAUGGAAACAGGUUCACCUUCAUCAAGAUUUGAUAAUAAGGGAAAAAUCUUUAAGCAGCUUCAAACUCAGAUGAGAAUUCUACCUAUAUAUAUAUUUUUUUCUGCAUGGUUUAACUAUAUAUUUCUAACUACAUGUAAGGGAAAUUUUUCAAAAUCCAACAUUUAUUUCAGCACCAAGGGCUUGUCACAGAGGGUGAGGGAAAGUAAAGGCUGUUAGGUAUAAACAAAGUAGCUACUAAGACAACACUGCAAGAUACAAUCAUGAGGGCAGACAGUUGUGGAUGGGAAAAAUACUAAUAUAAAACAAAUACCAGCUUUUGAAAUUCAUACUGCAUGCUGAACCACCUUAUAUAAAAACUACCCUAGUAUCACACCUCAGUGACUCAUCAUCAGUCUAAAGUAUCUCUGGAGAUCAGUUACUGUCUCGUUAGAUAAAGGCAAGUGGCUUGGUCAAUAAAGACUAACACUAAUUAACAAUGGAUUAAAUGUAUCAUUUCAGAUACCACAGGAUUUUCUUUUACUCAUUACUCCACACAAACCACUUAGUAAAUUAGGUUAACUUUUUGAUAGCACAGUCUAGUUUACUUAGUGCUCAUUGAUGAUUAUGUUAGAAUCCUGAAACUAGAAAUGGGAUUACUGCAGGCAAAGUUCUAAAAAGUACUACUAGGAGUGAGACGUUUCACAAUUAAUAUUUUUCCAGAUUUUGGAAAGAUUAUAGUUUACAUUCCGCCCAUUACAGGACAGUCCCAGAGAGACUCUUGUCUGACAUCACGCCAACAUAUGGCCAAUAUGGCAUAUUGUCAUAUUGCCAAGAACAUUAUGCCAACAUUUUACAGGACUAGAACAGUACAGUUCGUUGUUACCACAUAAAAAGACAAUCUACUUCAAAUUUAUCAUCUAUAGUAAAAAAAAAAAAAAAAAAAAAAGACUUUU
Long non-coding RNA from Sus scrofa (pig), 2580 nucleotides. RefSeq lists it as uncharacterized. Lineage: Eukaryota; Metazoa; Chordata; Mammalia; Artiodactyla; Suidae. The record is from RefSeq and is a predicted model, not a curated record.